Molecule: long non-coding RNA, 658 nt
Organism: Sebastes umbrosus (honeycomb rockfish)
Lineage: Eukaryota; Metazoa; Chordata; Actinopteri; Perciformes; Sebastidae
Exons: 5
Source: RefSeq, a predicted model, not a curated record
GCUGAAGUUGUGUUUAGUCUAUCCACACCUCAGGUUGCUCCAUGUGAACCUCAGGUGGACUACAGGUGGAAACAGGUGCUGCAGGAUUCUACACUAAAGUGCACUCAGCAUGCAGCUCUACCAUGACCUGCACACAGAAAGGCUCCAGCCGGCCAGGUCAGGUUCAAACCCAGCACCAUCCAGUUGUAUGUGAGGCAACACCAACCACUUUGUCCCCACGUUGCUCAUACUCACUUGCUGGUGAUGCCUCCUCCGGGGGGAAGCCCUGGCAUCUCCUCUGCAGCCAGGAAUUUGAUCACAUGUAACAGGUCAGGGUCCUCGUCUUUGGACCUCAUCAUCUGGAUAAUUUCUCUCUGCCUCCUGCUGCAGCGCCUCUUGUGACACCUGGGGGGCGCCGGGGAAGCAGACGAUGAUGAUGCUCAUGUUGUCCAAGCUGCCCUGCAGAGGGAGACAGAGACAUCAGAGAAGUAUGACAGGAAGCAUUUCAGUUUUAAUUCAAGUUGAAGUGAAGUGGUGGAAGCAGGUUUCUGGAGCAGUACUGUGCCACUGUGGAGCCUGCAUGUCCAUCAAAAACAGCAAAGUAUCCCCACUCCUUCAGCUCUCCCCUGAGCUCGGGCAUGCAGGUGUGGGCGUCCUCCAUCUGAGCCCUCCAGCCCUG